UCCCAUUUUUUUGAUCCUAUUCCUGCAAAAAUUGUUCAGAAAUUUUUGUAUUCAACAACCCAUUUUGGGUCUGGAUGUGUUUUGUGAUGUGUGAUUACAAUUUGGUUAUGCUUGUUCCCAUGUGUUGUUGUGAAUUGUGGGUUUUGUGUUCAUGGUGAGUAGCUGUGUGAGGUUAAAUUUGAUGUAUCAUUUAAUUGUUAGUGUGACCUUGUGUGGUGUUUAUGACACAAUUUGGUAGGAGUUUUUAGGGUUAUUGGGUG
RNAcentral lists this long non-coding RNA (260 nucleotides) under Ananas comosus (pineapple). Its description in RNAcentral is "long non-coding RNA (ACOM_LNC012005)". Lineage: Eukaryota; Viridiplantae; Streptophyta; Magnoliopsida; Poales; Bromeliaceae. The record is from RNAcentral.